Molecule: ribosomal RNA, 460 nt
Filed under: uncultured bacterium
Lineage: Bacteria
Description: partial 16S ribosomal RNA
Rfam family: Bacterial small subunit ribosomal RNA
Source: RNAcentral
CCUACGGGAGGCAGCAGUGAGGAAUAUUGGUCAAUGGACGAGAGUCUGAACCAGCCAAGUAGCGUGAAGGAUGACUGCCCUAUGGGUUGUAAACUUCUUUUAUAUGGGAAUAAAAUGUUCCACGUGUGGGAUUUUGUAUGUACCAUAUGAAUAAGGAUCGGCUAACUCCGUGCCAGCAGCCGCGGUAAUACGGAGGAUCCGAGCGUUAUCCGGAUUUAUUGGGUUUAAAGGGAGCGUAGGUGGAUUGUUAAGUCAGUUGUGAAAGUUUGCGGCUCAACCGGAAAAUUGCAGUUGAAACUGGCAGUCUUGAGUACAGGAGAGGUGGGCGGAAUGCGUGGUGUAGCGGUGAAAUGCUUAGAUAUCACGAAGAACUCCGAUUGCGAAGGCAGUUCACUGGACUGCAACUGACACUGAGGCUCGAAAGUGUGGGUAUCAAACAGGAUUAGAUACCCUUGUAGUC